This 133-nucleotide ribosomal RNA is filed under the name uncultured Glomus. Its description in RNAcentral is "5.8S ribosomal RNA". It matches the Rfam family "5.8S ribosomal RNA". Rfam says of the family: 5.8S ribosomal RNA (5.8S rRNA) is a component of the large subunit of the eukaryotic ribosome. The record is from RNAcentral. Lineage: Eukaryota; Fungi; Glomeromycota; Glomeromycetes; Glomerales; Glomeraceae.
CACUUCACACGAUCUCUGGCUCUCGCAUCGAUGAAGAACGUAGCGAAGUGCGAUAAGUAAUGUGAAUGCAGAAUCCGUGAUCAUCGAAUCUUGAACGCAAUGCACUCUCUUCGAAGAUUGCUGUUGAGGUCAG